UGCAGGUAAAACUUUAUUCCAAGUUAUUUAUGCAACAAAAGCUGCUAUGAAUAGUACAUGCUACCAACGUGGAUGAGGAAGACUUGGUCACCAAGAUGACUGAAAUCUUUGGCAGAGGAAAUUACAUUGAUGAAGGACUCAUUGAGAAAUUCAGAGUUGACAAAGAAAGAAGGAAUUCCAGAAGAAAAUAUCAUAAAUCUCAGUGAUGCAGAUCCUUGUCCUAAGAGCUCUGAAUUUAGGGACUUGGAAACGCUGACUUUAAGCCUUCCUAUAUAAUGAGAGUGACAUCCUACAGCACAAGUACUUCUUCAGCAGACCUAGAUCUGGGACCGCUCCACCUUCCACAGCUAUGCCUCAUGGUCCAGUUGACUUUGCAUGCAAGAAUCCCUUCUAUUUAUGGC
Choloepus didactylus (southern two-toed sloth) is the source of this 401-nucleotide long non-coding RNA. RefSeq lists it as uncharacterized. The record is from RefSeq and is a predicted model, not a curated record. The transcript is spliced from 4 exons. NCBI's taxonomy places the organism in Eukaryota, Metazoa, Chordata, Mammalia, Pilosa, Megalonychidae.